RNAcentral lists this ribosomal RNA (208 nucleotides) under uncultured bacterium. RNAcentral's name for it is "partial 16S ribosomal RNA". It matches the Rfam family "Bacterial small subunit ribosomal RNA", at positions 1285 to 1500 of the family's 1533-position model. The record is from RNAcentral.
GUCUCAGUUCGGAUCGGAGUCUGCAACCCGACUCCGUGAAGCUGGAUUCGCUAGUAAUCGCGCAUCAGCCAUGGCGCGGUGAAUACGUUCCCGGGCCUUGUACACACCGCCCGUCAAGCCAUGGAAGCCGGGAGUGCCUGAAGUAUGCAACCGCAAGGAGCGUCCUAAGGUAAAACCGGUGACUGGGGCUAAGUCGUAACAAGGUACC